Molecule: ribosomal RNA, 164 nt
Filed under: uncultured bacterium
Lineage: Bacteria
Description: partial 16S rRNA
Rfam family: Bacterial small subunit ribosomal RNA
Source: RNAcentral
UAGGGAAUCUUCGGCAAUGGACGAAAGUCUGACCGAGCAACGCCGCGUGAGUGAAGAAGGUUUUCGGAUCGUAAAACUCUGUUGGUAGAGAAGAACGUUGGUGAGAGUGGAAAGCUCAUCAAGUGACGGUAACUACCCAGAAGGGGACGGCUAACUACGUGCCA